Scatophagus argus is the source of this 437-nucleotide long non-coding RNA. RefSeq lists it as uncharacterized. Lineage: Eukaryota; Metazoa; Chordata; Actinopteri; Scatophagidae. The record is from RefSeq and is a predicted model, not a curated record. The transcript has 4 exons.
UUUAGUCGAUUUAAUGAGGCAAACGCGGGCGCUUCUGCUCCUGUGAGGGUUUUCACUGUGCAGUUUCCCGGUUUGUCGCAGCCAACAGCAGGCUGCGCGGACAGAGAAGCUGCUGUGUUUGACUCAGGUGUUGUUCCUUGAAGCCACUGAUAAACUCCUCCAAGGUCACUGUGCCAUCUCUGUCGACGUCCAGGCGGUUGAAUAUCCCAUCGACUUCUUGGAAGGUUGAGCUGAGAUCCAGCUGCUGAAGUCUUCCACAUCCCAGAGCCAGAGACUGAUCUCCUGCAUCUGUGACUGCCUUACAGCCACUCACAUUCAGGCAAAAACACGGAGAACAUGCAUUCAUCCAGGAUGGUCAAGACAGCCAAGCCUAUAUCUAGAGCGUUUACACAGACAAGACACGCAUAGAGAAGAAAGAAAGGAAAUCUUUACCCCAG